Molecule: ribosomal RNA, 501 nt
Filed under: uncultured bacterium
Lineage: Bacteria
Description: partial 16S ribosomal RNA
Rfam family: Bacterial small subunit ribosomal RNA
Source: RNAcentral
AUUGAACGCCGGCGGCAGGCUUAACACAUGCAAGUCGAGCGGGGGGAGGUAGCUUGCUACCGGACCUAGCGGCGGACGGGUGGGUAAUGCUUAGGAAUCUGCGUAUUAGUGGGGGACGACAUCUCGAAGGGGAUGCUAAUACCGCAUACGUCCUACGGGGGAAAGCAGGGGAUCUGCGGACCUUGCGCUAAUAGAUGAGCCUAAGUCGGAUUAGCUAGUUGGUGGGGUAAAGGACUACCAAGGCGACGAUCUGUAGCGGGUCUGAGAGGAUGAUCCGCCACACUGGGACGGAGACACGGCCCAGCCUCCUACGGGAGGCAGCAGUGGGGAAUACUGGACAAUGGGGGGAACCCUGAUCCAGCCAUGCCGCGUGUGUGAAGAAGGCCUUAUGGUUGUAAAGCACUUUAAGCGAGGAGGAGGCUACUUUAGUUAAUACCUAGAGAUAGUGGGCGUUACUCGCAGAAUAAGCACCGGCUAACUCUGUGCCAGCCGCCGCUGUAA